This 413-nucleotide ribosomal RNA is filed under the name uncultured microorganism. Its description in RNAcentral is "bacterial SSU rRNA". It matches the Rfam family "Bacterial small subunit ribosomal RNA", at positions 9 to 418 of the family's 1533-position model. The record is from RNAcentral.
GAGUUUGAUCCUAGCUCAGAGUGAACGCUGGCGGUAGGCCUAACACAUGCAAGUCGAACGGCAGCACAGUAAGAGCUUGCUCUUAUGGGUGGCGAGUGGCGGACGGGUGAGGAAUACAUCGGAAUCUACUUUUUCGUGGGGAUAACGUAGGGAAACUUACGCUAAUACCGCAUACGACCUACGGGUGAAAGCAGGGGAUCUUCGGACCUUGCGCGAUUGAAUGAGCCGAUGUCGGAUUAGCUAGUUGGCGGGGUAAAGGCCCACCAAGGCGACGAUCCGUAGCUGGUCUGAGAGGAUGAUCAGCCACACUGGAACUGAGACACGGUCCAGACUCCUACGGGAGGCAGCAGUGGGAAUAUUGGACAAUGGGCGCAAGCCUGAUCCAGCCAUACCGCGUGGGUGAAGAAGGCCUU